AUCGAACGCUGGCGGCAUGCCUAACACAUGCAAGUCGAACGGGAACUUCGGGUCUAGUGCUGCAUUGGUGAGUAACGCGUGGGAACCUGCCCUUAGGUUCGGAAUAACCCCCCGAAAGGGGUGCUCAUAUCGGAAAAUGUCCUCGGACCACAGAUCGAUCCACGUUGGAUGGGGCCGACCUGCAUUAGCCAGUUGGUAGGGUAAACGCGUACCAAGGUGACAAUCCAUAGCUGGGCAGAGAGAAUGAGCAGCCACACUGGGACUGAGACGCGGGCCAGACUCCUGCAGGAGGCAGCAGUGGGUAAUAUUGGACAGUGGGCUGUAGCCUGAUCCAGCAAGGCCUCGUGAGUGAUUAAAGCCUUAGGGUUGUGAAUCACUUUUACCCGGUAGGAUAUUGACAUUACCGGGAGAAUAAGCUCCGGCUAACUCCGUG
This 433-nucleotide ribosomal RNA is filed under the name uncultured bacterium. Its description in RNAcentral is "partial 16S ribosomal RNA". It matches the Rfam family "Bacterial small subunit ribosomal RNA", at positions 30 to 507 of the family's 1533-position model. The record is from RNAcentral.